ACGGAAGGCAGCAGUGGGGAAUAUUGCACAAUGGGCGAAAGCCUGAUGCAGCGACGCCGCGUGAACGAAGAAGUAUUUCGGUAUGUAAGGUUCUAUCAGCAGGGAAGAUAAUGACGGUACCUGACUAAGAAGCACCGGCUAAAUACGUGCCAGCAGCCGCGGUAAUACGUAUGGUGCAAGCGUUAUCCGGAUUUACUGGGUGUAAAGGGAGCGCAGGCGGCGCGGCAAGUCUGAAGUGAAAUCCCGGGGCUCAACCCCGGAACUGCUUUGGAAACUGUCGUGCUAGAGUGUCGGAGGGGUAAGCGGAAUUCCUAGUGUAGCGGUGAAAUGCGUAGAUAUUAGGAGGAACACCAGUGGCGAAGGCGGCUUACUGGACGAUAACUGACGCUGAGGCUCGAAAGCGUGGGGAGCAAACAGGAUUAGAUACCCUGGUA
Molecule: ribosomal RNA, 434 nt
Filed under: uncultured Lachnospiraceae bacterium
Lineage: Bacteria; Bacillati; Bacillota; Clostridia; Lachnospirales; Lachnospiraceae
Description: bacterial SSU rRNA
Rfam family: Bacterial small subunit ribosomal RNA
Source: RNAcentral